This 173-nucleotide unclassified non-coding RNA is filed under the name soil metagenome. RNAcentral describes it as "partial internal transcribed spacer 1". The record is from RNAcentral.
CCGAGUGAGGGCCCUCUGGGUCCAACCUCCCACCCGUGUCUAUCGUACCUUGUUGCUUCGGCGGGCCCGCCUCACGGCCGCCGGGGGGCUUCUGCCCUCUGGCCCGCGCCCGCCGAAGACACCAUUGAACGCUGUCUGAAGAUUGCAGUCUGAGCAAUUAGCUAAAUAAGUUA